RNAcentral lists this ribosomal RNA (253 nucleotides) under uncultured bacterium. RNAcentral describes it as "partial 16S ribosomal RNA". It matches the Rfam family "Bacterial small subunit ribosomal RNA", at positions 524 to 776 of the family's 1533-position model. The record is from RNAcentral.
UACGUAGGUGGCAAGCGUUGUCCGGAAUUAUUGGGCGUAAAGCGCGCGCAGGCGGUCCUUUAAGUCUGAUGUGAAAGCCCACGGCUCAACCGUGGAGGGUCAUUGGAAACUGGGAGACUUGAGUGCAGAAGAGGAAAGUGGAAUUCCAGGUGUAGCGGUGAAAUGCGUAGAGAUAUGGAGGAACACCAGUGGCGAAGGCGACUUUCUGGUCUAUAACUGACACUGAGGCGCGAAAGCGUGGGGAGCAAACAGG